GAGCAGAGCUGUGUGUGAUCUUGACAUGGCGGUGAACUUGGUUGUGAGGACGGUGACAUGACUUUCUCACUGAAGCGAUGGAUUCACGCAGCAGAGGGAGUGAGCUGGCUGGGACGGGCUCAUCUGCUCAUGGAAAAGAGAACCACUGAGCUAUCUGUUUAGAACCCACUGCGUGUGUUUUCCUUGGAACAGAAACAGCAUUUUAACACUGGUUUCACUGAUUAUGAGAAAUUGAUUCCUGGCUGCCAACCAUACGCCCUCUCUUCAUUCCCCAGUAUGGGACGUGGGAUAGAUGGUGCCAAGCUGAUACAAGUCCACAGUGCUUUCUUUCCUACGGAAGCGCCAUCGGAACCCUGUGAGACUUUACCAGGAACCCAUAACAUUGGACUUGCUGCAGGGUGAUAACAGACCUGAAGGCCAAGGUGUUUCCUGUGGUAACACAUGGGUACCAGGUACCACCUUCUCCGCCAAGGUAUCACCUGGGAAAGCAGACCUACUUUGUGAAAAAUGUCAAGUGACUUCUUUGAACAGCCUUGUCUGCAGGAGACAUUUAAUUCAGAAGUUAGUUGAACCUCGCUCACUCUUCAAAGAAUAUUGAUCAACUUAGCAAAGUGCUAUGUGAAGACUUAAGAUGGGGUAAAAGCAGACAUCAUGUGAGACUUGCCAUCUGAUGAGAGAUGACCUUCACAACAUUGAACUGAGAACAGUUGUCUAUGUGACCAGUGGACAAAGGCAGAUCUCCCUAAAUUCAUUCUAAGCCUGUUGCAAUGUCUUGGAAAAUCCACUUCUUAUAGAAACUCAGUUUGAAACUAUGUGCACAAUCUUUUCCCUUUGCCUCUUUCCAAGAUUUCUCCAUUGUAGGUGUUCAAGACUAGCCAAGAUGUGCUUAAAGAGACCUUAACUCUUCUUCACGUGAAGACAACAAAAGAAUGAACAGAUGGAGUUCCAUUUCACACAACCUAAUGCCCACGGAAUGUGAUUCCUGAUGGAUUUGGUUUUGUCCAGUCUAGCAAAUGACUGUUAUCCCUCAUGGUCAAAGACCAGAGGCAGAAACUGGGAGAAAAUGGUCGUCAAUUUCUGCAACCAGGUUACGGGGAGAUGGGUUGGCAUCAUUACCAAAAACCUGCUAAAAGCAACACAAACUCUUUUCAGUAUUUGUACCCCAAAUUUAUAGCCCUUCACCCACCCAUUGUUAAGCUUAAGAUUAAGACGUUCAAGUACAGUUUCAGGCUGACUCAA
Carlito syrichta (Philippine tarsier) is the source of this 1239-nucleotide long non-coding RNA. RefSeq lists it as uncharacterized. NCBI's taxonomy places the organism in Eukaryota, Metazoa, Chordata, Mammalia, Primates, Tarsiidae. The transcript has 5 exons. The record is from RefSeq and is a predicted model, not a curated record.